This 467-nucleotide ribosomal RNA is filed under the name uncultured bacterium. RNAcentral describes it as "partial 16S ribosomal RNA". It matches the Rfam family "Bacterial small subunit ribosomal RNA", at positions 28 to 507 of the family's 1533-position model. The record is from RNAcentral.
GAUGAACGCUGGCGGCGUGCUUAACACAUGCAAGUCGAACGGAAAGGCCCAAGCUUGCUUGGGUACUCGAUUGCCGAACGGGUGAGUAUCACGUGUGUGAUCUGCCCUGCACUUCGGGAUAUGCCUGCGAAACUCGGUCUAAUACCGGAUAGGACCACUUCUUGGGCGUUGUUGUGGAGUGUUUUUUGGGUGUGGGGUGAGCUGGCGGGCUAUCAGCUUGUUGGUGGGGUGAUGGCCUACCAACGCGUGGCCGGGUAGCCGGACUGUGGGGGUGUAAAGCGACAUUGGGACUGAGAGGCGGCAGAGACAGCGACGGGAGGCAGCAGGGGGGAAUCUUGCAGGAGGGGCGCAGGCCGGAUGCAGCGAGGCCGCGGGGGGGAAGACGGUCUUAGGGUUGAAGAACAAAUGCGCUAGGAACGAAGCGUUUUGUGACGGUACCUGGUGAAGAAGCACCGGCUAACUACGUG